Molecule: transfer RNA, 70 nt
Filed under: Marmota monax (woodchuck)
Lineage: Eukaryota; Metazoa; Chordata; Mammalia; Rodentia; Sciuridae
Description: tRNA.Ala
Source: RNAcentral
GAUUGGACUUAGUGGUAGAGUAGUUGCCUAGCAAGCAGGAGGCCCUGGGUUGGAUCCCCAGCACUGGACA